UCCUGUCUCCCGGACGAGGACCUCAACCCCUUCCCCCGCUCGGGGACCCCGGCCACCCGCAGCCCGGCCGCGCUGCGCCCAGAAACCCAUGAGUCUUCCUCAGCAGCUGUCGAAACUUGCCGGCGGUUGCUUGCUCACCUUUGCUGUCUCCCCUUCAGAAAAGGCUGGAGGGGAGGGCGAGGAAGGCUUGGCGUGGGGACGCCCGUCGAGUCUCUCAGUGAGGAAUGAGAGGCCAGCUUCUCCUGCGGGGUAUGAAGGAGGAACUGUAUCUCCUAUAUAUAUUAAGUUUCAUUUAUAAAGACAUCAGAGAGCACCUGAGAAUGUUUCAAGGUCACCAAAAGCUUUCUGAAAAUGCCUUUCUGCAAAGAAGGUUUCCAGUACUUUCAGGGAGAGUGUUAAUUGGAUUGGAAGGAAGACACUGAUGAGCUGCUGGGAGUGAGAGUGAGACCCUCGAGGAGUCCACAGUGCAUUUUAAGGAGUGGAGAUAGAAGAUAACUCAGGAAGCUUAGAAGAGGUCAACCUGGGAAGACAGGAUUCUUUCUCCCCACCCGUGGCUCUGCAGGAAGCAAUACCCUCCCCUCUGGGCAAGGUCGACCCUCCAAGUCCAGAUGAGAAGAGUUCCCUCUGUCUGCUCUUUCCUCUGCCUGAUGACCCAGAGGCUUUGCAGCUGUGAUCCUGGCAGCCCCUGGCCACCUCAGGGAGCUGCAGAAUUCAAACCCUGGAAAUGGAGCUCUGCUUGCAGCUGCACCUGGGGCCUGACCUGCUUAGGACAGGCCUGUCUGGACCUAAGAGAACCCCACUGCCACCCACUCAGCUACUCCCUAACAGACUGCAGAGACCAAGUCUUUUUCAUUUCUUUAUAUCCAUUGAUUUCUCGAGUUAUUGAAACUCAAUAUUUACUGAGCACCUACAAUGUGCCAGGCACUGUGAUAGGCACUGAAGAAAGGGCAAAGGACGAGCAGAUAAAUUUCCUACUUGCAGGGAACACCGUGGUAGUGAGUAAAAUGAGACAUUGCAAAUAAACACAUAAAUAUAUAAUAUGUCAACUGGCAAUAAUUGAUGCGAAGAAUGAUUAAGCAAAACAAGGAAAUGCAGAGACAGGGAAGGAGCAUCUAUCUGGUAUGAAGUAGUCAGAGAAGGCCUCUCUGGUCAGAUGACAUUUGGGCAGAACCUGGGGCCUGUCUCAGCACCACCUGUUCCUUCCUCGGCCACUUGCUCCCUGCAGCCACCAAAGGCCCCUGUGGUUUUCCCGCCUGAGGCUCACCAGCCACAGGCCUAGAAUAUCUGGCUUCUCUCCCCACGUCCAAACUCAGCUGAAAUGCCAAACUGCAGGACCUUGUUUCCUGAGCAACUGCCAAUGGGGCUGAAUGAUGCAACUCGGAAAGGAAGAGGAUUUCAUUCCCCCUGAAUGGACUUUGCACCAGUGGGAGACAGGAAACAGGAGAUUGGAGGAUACUGGGCAGCUGAACUGCCUCACCCUUUCCCCCUGCCCCGUCUGGUGCACAAUUUCUCCACACAGCCUGCUGUGUGUGGCCAAGCCUGUGCGCCGACUGAGUGUUAUGGGUUGAACUAUGUUCCUCAGAAAGAUAUGUCGAAGUCCUAACCCCCAGUAACUGUGAAUGUGGCUUUAUAGUAUUUGGAAACAGGGUCUUUGCUGAUGCAAUCAAGUUAAGAUGAAGUCAUUAAGGGGGUAGGGGCCUAAUCCAAUCUCUUGUCCUUAGAAGGAGAAAGACAGAGACACAUCAGGGGAAGAUGGUGAGGUGACAAUGGAGGCAGAGAUUGGAGCAAUUUAUCUAAAUGCUAGGCAACGCCACAGAGAGCUGCAAACACCAAGGCUAGAAGAGGCAGGGAAGGAGCCUCCCCUACAGGUUUCAGAGGGAGCAUGGCCUCACCAUACCUUUACUUCAGACUUCUAGCAUCCAGAACUGUGACACAACACAUUUCUGUUGUUCUGAGUGACAACAGUGUGUGGUGUGUUAUUACAGCUGCUCUAGAAACUAACAUAUCGAGCAGCCAGCUGUGUGGGAUUGUACCUCCCAAGUAACCCUCUAAGACUUAACCUUUGCCCAGGGCUCUGUCUCUAGAGAACUGUGACAAUGAUAGGUAGACCUGAAUAAAGCGAAGGAUGAUAUCUGCAGGGAUAUUUGAGGACAGGGAGUGCUGACAAGGGAGGAGCCAGUGCAAAGGCCCCGAGGUGGCAGUAUGCUUGGUGUGUUGGAGGAGCAGGAAGGUGACCAGGGUGUUUGGGGAGUGAAUAAGGGGAAGAGUGCUCAGAGGAGAAGUCAGAGGAGGGGCCAAAGACAUGUUCUCUAGGGCCAGAAAGGCCUUUGGAUCUUUUCGACAUUAUCUUCUUGACAUGUAAUUUAUAUAGUAGUAAAAUGAACAAAAUGGGUGACUAUUUUGUGAAUUUUUUAGAUACAUAAAACCACGUGAUCACUAUCCAGAUCAAAUGUUGAACAUUUCCAUCACCCCAGAGAGUUCACUCCUGCUACCUUCCAGUCAAUACAACUUACCAAUCCUGAGGCAACCAGUACUCUCUCUUUUAUCAUCAUAAAUUUGUUUUAACCUGUUCCUUAAUGGCAUAUAAAUGAAACUACAUAGCAUGCUUUUGCUCAAAAUAGUGCUUGUGAGGUUCAUCCAGGUUGCUGUAUGUAUACUUCAAUUAUUAUUAUUGCUGAGUAGUAUUCCAUUGCCUGGAUAUAUCACAAAUUAUUUAUCCAUUCUUCUGCUGAAUAUUUGAGUUAUUUGCAGUUUAGGCCUAUAAUAAAUGAAGCCGCUAGGAACAUUUAUGUGUUCCUCUUAUUUUGGUUGCAUGCAAUCAUUUCUCUUGGUAUAAACCUAGCAGUGUAUUUUCUGGGUCAACUGGCUUAGGUUUAGGUUAACUGUAUUCGUUUACACCAUUUUAUACUCCCGUCAGCAAUAUAUGAGUUCCAGGUAUUCUGCAUCCUCACCAACACUUGGAGCCUUUCUGGUAGGUGUGUAGUGGCAUUGCAUUGUGCUUUCAAUAUGCAUUUUUCUGCUGACUAAUGCACUCCUUUUUAUAUGCCUAUUAUUCACAUAUCUCCUUUUAUGAAGUAGGUAUUCAAGUCUUUUAUUCACAUUUUAUGUUUUGUUAUGGCCACAUCUCACUUCCAGAAUCUGUAUUGGUUAUCUAUCGCGCAUUAAAAAAGUACUCUAAAGCUUGACAGCUAAAAACAACAAACAUUCAUUCUCUCACACAGUCUCUGCAGGUCAGGAACCUGGGUGCAGCUUCAUGGGGUGGUUCUGGCUCAGGGUCUCAGGUUGCAUUUGAGCUGCUGUCUGAGGUUACAGCCCUACCUAUCAAAGCUGAACCAGAGCCAGACUCCAUGUCUAAACUCACUUAUGUGAGCUUCAGUGUGAGAAAUGUAUGAAUUUUGUUUGAUGAAAUAUUGAAAAGCUUAACAACUUCCUCCUACUCUCAUUGGCCUCUUGGUGCCCAGUAUCUGAGUCUGAAAAAUCUCAUCUAUAGGAAUCAAUGGCAGCAAAGACAGAACCAAGGUCCCACGGCUAUUGGGGAGGUUGGCAGAUGAGUGAGGAAAAAGGGGUGUCAGCAAUCUAAAAAUAUUCAGGCUCACAGAAAUAUAACUGUUUGAAAUGACUCACUUUUAUUAAGAUCCUGCCAUCUCACUUACCAGCUUAAAAAAAAAUAGAUCACAGCAGAAUGUUUCAAAUUCUCCAUAAAUGGCCAUUUGAUCCAGCAACCUACCUGUGGAAAUUUAUGCCAAGAUUAGAAUCUACAAAAUACAUACAGAGAUGCACAUUGAAGUAUUAUUUAUUAGGAAUCUAAAUUGUGGAAUCAUUAAAGAGAAUACAUAUUCCCUCAAAAGAAUACCAUGGUGUUAUUAAAAGUAGUCAUUAUGAGUGGUUAGGAUAUAAUAUAAUAUUACAGGAAAUUCUUAGGAUAUACCAUCAAGUAGAAAAACUUUUCUUCCCAGCUUUUCAAUGUGAAAAUGUUUAAACCUACAGGAAAGUUGUAAGGCCAGAACAAUAAAUGCUUGUAUAGCCUUCAUCUAGAUUCUCCAACAGUGACCACAGUUGCCACAUCUCUUUAAGUGUAAUGCUCAUCCUUUGAGAGUAAGUGCAGACAUUUUGAUACCAUGCUCUAAGUACUACAACACCUAUCUAAAAUUGUAGAAGGAAACUCUUCUAUGAUUUUCACACUCAAGACAUUUAACACUGAUAUAAAGUUUAUAUUCAAAUUUCUCCAAAAGAUUUAAAACUAUCUCUUUGGCUUGUGUUAUCCAGGACUCAAUGGAGGAUUGAGCAUUGCAUUUAGUUGUUGUGCCUCUUUAGUUUUUUUUGAUCUAAAACAAUCCCUCAACCAUUUUUAAAAAUUCUUUCAUGACAUUGACAUUUUUAAAAGACUCUGGAACAGUCAUUUUACAGAAUAUCCUUCAAUUUGGAUGUGUCUGUUUCCUCAAGAUUAGAAAUUACAUGAACUUCUUGGCUAACUUCUCCAUUUUAUUUUGUGUUCAAAAUAUAUUACUCUUUCCCAUGUCCUGUGAAAAUAAAAAAUCUCUAAUGUGUUUGUGAAAAAGAUUAAGCUAAGAUUUUGUUUGGAUGCAGUGUGAUUUGGACUUAGGUGUGUGUAUCUGAACUUCAUCCUUUGUCAUCAAAAGAAUAGUAUAAUAACUAAGAACAUGUAGCUUAAGAAAUCCAGGCACUUGAGAGCCACUGUAAGUAAACUCUAAUUCCCACAGCAGAAAGAUAGGUACCAUUGUCUUAAAGAAAUCUCUGCGACAGAGUCAACAUCAUACACUCUAAGCUCUAGAGCUAUAUUUUGUAAAAACAAAAAAGGUUUCCCUGCUUCACUUUGCCUGCGGACCCCCUUCUGAUGAACUCCACUCAGGGUAAGCCUGCCUUGUUCCUGGAGCCCUCUUCCUCUGGCUGCAAUCCAGAGCAAGUUGCUGUCUGGACUUGUUGAAAAGCUGUUGUCCUGAGACUUCUCUUCAAAUUCUAAGGAAAAAUUUACUUUUUCUCAGGAUUCUAAACCCAAUCAAAUAAUCAAGUGUAAAGGCAAAAUAGAUACAAAAUGUACCUUGCAAAUACUCUAGGAAGCUACUGGAAGAAAGGCUUCAGCAAAUAAAGGAAGUGUAUGAAGAAAGAAAGAAGCAUGGCACAUUGCUACCUUAACUAAUAAAAAUCUCUGAACUUUCCGGUCCCAUCUGAGGAAGCAAAAAUGCUACUUGCUGCAAAAACGACACCAUUUAUCACACUGCAACAAAAGCAAUGUAUAGGCAUGCCUUGGGGAUAUGUGAGUUUGAUUCCAGACUACUUCAAUAAAAUGAAUACUGCAAUGA
Molecule: long non-coding RNA, 5321 nt
Filed under: Homo sapiens (human)
Lineage: Eukaryota; Metazoa; Chordata; Mammalia; Primates; Hominidae
Description: HSALNT0043176
Source: RNAcentral